RNAcentral lists this ribosomal RNA (406 nucleotides) under uncultured bacterium. RNAcentral's name for it is "partial 16S ribosomal RNA". It matches the Rfam family "Bacterial small subunit ribosomal RNA", at positions 29 to 526 of the family's 1533-position model. The record is from RNAcentral.
AUUGAACGCUGGCGGCAGGCCUAACACAUGCAAGUCGAACGAGUGGCGGACGGGUGAGUAAUGUCUGGGAAACUGCCUGAUGGAGGGGGAUAACUACUGGAAACGGUAGCUAAUACCGCAUACCAUCGGAUGUGCCCAGAUGGGAUUAGCAAGUAGGUGGGGUAAAGGCUCACCUAGGCGACGAUCCCUAGCUGGUCUGAGAGGAUGACCAGCAAACAUGGAACGGAGAAACGGUACAGAAUCCUACGGGAGGCAGCAGUGGGGAAUAUUGAACAAUGGGCGCAAGCCUGAUGCAGCCAUGCCGCGUGGAGGAAGAAGGCCGUCGGGUUGUAAAGUACUUUCAGCGGGGAGGCGUUACCCGCAGAAGAAGCACCGGCUAACUCCGUGCCAGCCGCCGCGGUAAUAC